AACGAACGCUGGCGGCAUGCCUAACACAUGCAAGUCGAACGAGACGUCCGGGUCUUGUGGCGCAUGGGUGUGUAAGGCGUGGGAACCUGCACUUAGGUUCGGAAUAACUCUCCGAAAGGGGUGCUAAUGACGGAUAGGGUCUUAGGACCAAAGAUUUAUUGCGUUUGGUUGGGCCCGCGUUGGAUUAGCUGGUUGGUAGGGUAAUAGCAUACCAAGGCGACGAUGCAUAGCUGGUCUGAGAGGAUGAUCAGCCACACUGGGACUAAGACACGGCCCAGACUCCUACGGAAGGCAGGAGUGGGGAAUAUUGGACAAUGGGGGAAGGCCUGAUCCAGCAAUGCCGCGUAAGUGAUGAUGGCAGUAGAGUAGUAAAGCUCUUGUACCCGGGAUGAUAAUGACGGUACCGGGUGAAAAAGCUCCGGCUAACUCCGUG
RNAcentral lists this ribosomal RNA (433 nucleotides) under uncultured bacterium. RNAcentral's name for it is "partial 16S ribosomal RNA". It matches the Rfam family "Bacterial small subunit ribosomal RNA", at positions 29 to 507 of the family's 1533-position model. The record is from RNAcentral.